GUAACAAGGUUUCCGUAGGUGAACCUGCGGAAGAAUCAUUGUCGAAAUCUCGUGGAGCAGCGUGACUUGAGAACAUGUCCAAAUCCAAUACCAAGGGCGCCGGGUCCAUCAUAUGGGUCCAGCCCCUGCGAACAAAAACACCGGCGCAGCAGCGCCAAGGAAUUUGCAAUGAGAACGCUGGCUUGCAAAGCUCGCCCUUAGAGCUUGCGCGGGUUGCGUCUACGUAAGAAAAUGACUCUCGGCAAUGGAUAUCUCGGCUCUUGCAUCGAUGAAGAACGUAGCGAAAUGCGAUACUUGGUGUGAAUUGCAGAAUCCCGUGAACCAUCGAAUCUUUGAACGCAAGUUGCGCCUGAAGCCCAUAAGGUUGAGGGCACGUUUGCUUGGGUGUCACGCAUCGUGUCUCUCCCCUCGCGCUUUGGGGUUGGAGCGGAUAAUGGCCUCCCGGGCCCAACGUCGGGCGUGGUUGGCCGAAAAUCUUGUCCAUGAUGAUGUUCGAUGUCUUGGCGUGUGGUGGGUGUACCAAUUGGUAUAUAGUCUCGUCUUGCACGGCCCGAUUGUCGGCUUGGCCCUUUGGAGUAGACGGAGUUUGCUCUUUGAUUGCGACCCCAAGUCAAGCGGGACUACCCGCUGAGUUUAAGCA
This 640-nucleotide ribosomal RNA is filed under the name Cuscuta gracillima. RNAcentral describes it as "eukaryotic LSU rRNA". The stretch from base 234 to 390 matches the Rfam family "5.8S ribosomal RNA". The record is from RNAcentral. Lineage: Eukaryota; Viridiplantae; Streptophyta; Magnoliopsida; Solanales; Convolvulaceae.